GCAAACUUGGUCAUUUAGAGGAAGUAAAAGUCGUAACAAGGUUUCCGUAGGUGAACCUGCGGAAGGAUCAUUAACAGUUCCUGGCCGAAACCCUUCGCGGGCUAGGCCGCUGAACUUACACCCUGGCCCGGAGACCGCGUCUCCCCGCCGCUCCCUCAGCGCGGGGGGAUGCGCGUCCGGGUUUCAUGUGUUCACCCCUCACCCUCUGCGAAACUUUAUACCUUUGCUUCGGCAGCACCGUGCGCGGGCAACCGUGACCGGGUAAGGCUGUCGGAAGCUCAUACCAAAACAUGUUGAUGAAAUGUCAUGCUGUCUGAUGAACCACUGUUUUGAGAAAUCAAAUCAUAUUAAAACUUUCAGCAACGGAUCUCUUGGUUCCCGCAUCGAUGAAGAACGCAGC
This 400-nucleotide unclassified non-coding RNA is filed under the name uncultured fungus. Its description in RNAcentral is "partial contains small subunit ribosomal RNA, internal transcribed spacer 1, and 5.8S ribosomal RNA". The stretch from base 1 to 73 matches the Rfam family "Eukaryotic small subunit ribosomal RNA", at positions 1759 to 1831 of the family's 1831-position model. Lineage: Eukaryota; Fungi. The record is from RNAcentral.